RNAcentral lists this ribosomal RNA (484 nucleotides) under uncultured bacterium. RNAcentral describes it as "partial 16S ribosomal RNA". It matches the Rfam family "Bacterial small subunit ribosomal RNA", at positions 30 to 507 of the family's 1533-position model. The record is from RNAcentral.
AUUGAGCGCUGGCGGCAGGCCUAACACAUGCAAGUCGAGCGGAUGAAGGGGGCUUGCUCCUGGAUUCAGCGGCGGACGGGUGAGUAAUGCCUAGGAAUCUGCCUGGUAGUGGGGGAUAACGUCCGGAAACGGGCGCUAAUACCGCAUACGUCCUGAGGGAGAAAGUGGGGGAUCUUCGGACCUCACGCUAUCAGAUGAGCCUAGGUCGGAUUAGCUAGUUGGUGGGGUAAAGGCCUACCAAGGCGACGAUCCGUAACUGGUCUGAGAGGAUGAUCAGUCACACUGGAACUGAGACACGGUCCAGACUCCUACGGGAGGCAGCAGUGGGGAAUAUUGGACAAUGGGCGAAAGCCUGAUCCAGCCAUGCCGCGUGUGUGAAGAAGGUCUUCGGAUUGUAAAGCACUUUAAGUUGGGAGGAAGGGCAGUAAGUUAAUACCUUGCUGUUUUGACGUUACCAACAGAAUAAGCACCGGCUAACUUCGUG